Long non-coding RNA from Peromyscus maniculatus bairdii (prairie deer mouse), 451 nucleotides. RefSeq lists it as uncharacterized. The record is from RefSeq and is a predicted model, not a curated record. NCBI's taxonomy places the organism in Eukaryota, Metazoa, Chordata, Mammalia, Rodentia, Cricetidae.
CUCGGUGUGACAGUCAGUCGACUUCCUGUUGCCUGCAAGAUGUAGCACUCUCAGCUCCAGCAUCAAGUCUGCUUGCACGCUGCCAGGCUCCCCUUCAUGAUGAUAAUGGACUGAACCUCUGAAACUGACCCAAGGAUCUGAGGCGGCUCUGACAUGAAAGCCUUCUCCCUGAAGACUACCUUUUAUACUCCCCUUGGAAGUCACCAUGCAUGCCUGCUUCCAACGGAAGGCAGCAACCAUUACCUCUACCAAGUUGCAGGCCAGCAGGCAAGACUCCUGCAGACAGGCCUGACCACCACCAUCCCCCAUCGGACCCUGUCAUUUACAAGCCCCACUCCGUCCCCCAAACCCACCCAUACCCCAAGACGGCAGCUGCUCCCUGAGACACAGACUCUGCCAGCUCCGAUUGGACCAAGAGAGCCUUCAUCCAGUAACUGAGCAGAUGCAGAGA